CCAGGGGCGUCGUUGUUGAUGGGGUCCCAUGCAUCAGAGGAGGAGAGACAGUAGUGGCCCUGGGACACGUAUGUGUGAGGCCACACCUCUGCUGACGAGUGAUGCAAUAUCUGAUCUGCAACGACAAAGAGAUGAGCCACGCUGCCCUGGUUGGAUCCCAGUCGUUGGCUGUCUCCAUCCAUUGACGACCAGGCUAGGAGUGUUGCCUCUGAGAUUGCAAACUGCUGGAGGAUACCUGAGGGAAGGAUUUCAAGGUCGAGUCAGGGUCACCGUGAGGACCUUUGUGUAACCGGCGUUCACCCCAAGAAGUGAGUGCACCACCACCACCACCACCACCACUACUACUAUCAUCAGGAGAACCAAGAGUGACUAAGGUCGGGGCGGGGGUCAACCUGCCGUCUACUUCAAGCCCAGAUAACGGCAGCCUCUGUCACAACACAUCUCUCUAUCAGCAGGGCUGAAUCUAACAAUAGUGGGGCCAUGGGUGGGUUCCUGCUC
Cynoglossus semilaevis (tongue sole) is the source of this 498-nucleotide long non-coding RNA. RefSeq lists it as uncharacterized. The transcript has 4 exons. Lineage: Eukaryota; Metazoa; Chordata; Actinopteri; Pleuronectiformes; Cynoglossidae. The record is from RefSeq and is a predicted model, not a curated record.